CCUACGGGAGGCUGCAGUGAGGAAUAUUGGUCAAUGGGCGCGAGCCUGAACCAGCCAAGUAGCGUGAAGGAUGACUGCCCUACGGGUUGUAAACCUCUUUUAUAAGGGAAUAAAGUGUGGGACGUGUCCUGUUUUGUAUGUACCUUAUGAAUAAGGAUCGGCUAACUCCGUGCCAGCAGCCGCGGUAAUACGGAGGAUCCGAGCGUUAUCCGGAUUUAUUGGGUUUAAAGGGUGCGUAGGCGGCCUUUUAAGUCAGCGGUGAAAGUCUGUGGCUCAACCAUAGAAUUGCCGUUGAAACUGGGAGGCUUGAGUAUGUUUGAGGCAGGCGGAAUGCGUGGUGUAGCGGUGAAAUGCUUAGAUAUCACGCAGAACCCCGAUUGCGAAGGCAGCCUGCCAAGCCAUGACUGACGCUGAUGCACGAAAGCGUGGGGAUCAAACAGGAUUAGAUACCCUAGUAGUC
RNAcentral lists this ribosomal RNA (460 nucleotides) under uncultured bacterium. Its description in RNAcentral is "partial 16S ribosomal RNA". It matches the Rfam family "Bacterial small subunit ribosomal RNA", at positions 338 to 795 of the family's 1533-position model. The record is from RNAcentral.